GACGAACGCUGGCGGCGUGCUUAACACAUGCAAGUCGAACGAAGAGCGAUGGAAGCUUGCUUCUAUCAAUCUUAGUGGCGAACGGGUGAGUAACGCGUAAUCAACCUGCCCUUCAGAGGGGGACAACAGUUGGAAACGACUGCUAAUACCGCAUACGAUCUAACCUCGGCAUCGAGGAAAGAUGAAAGGUGGCCUCUAUGUAUAAGCUAUCACUGAAGGAGGGGAUUGCGUCUGAUUAGCUAGUUGGAGGGGUAACGGCCCACCAAGGCGAUGAUCAGUAGCCGGUCUGAGAGGAUGAACGGCCACAUUGGGACUGAGACACGGCCCAGACUCCUACGGGAGGCAGCAGUGGGGAAUCUUCCGCAAUGGACGAAAGUCUGACGGAGCAACGCCGCGUGAGUGAUGACGGCCUUCGGGUUGUAAAGCUCUGUUAAUCGGGACGAAAGGCCUUCUUGCGAAUAGUUAGAAGGAUGACGGUACCGGA
RNAcentral lists this ribosomal RNA (484 nucleotides) under Veillonella parvula. RNAcentral describes it as "bacterial SSU rRNA". It matches the Rfam family "Bacterial small subunit ribosomal RNA", at positions 28 to 482 of the family's 1533-position model. Lineage: Bacteria; Bacillati; Bacillota; Negativicutes; Veillonellales; Veillonellaceae. The record is from RNAcentral.